UUUAUUAGGGAAGAACCAUAUGUGUAAGUAACUGUGCACAUCUUGACGGUACCUAAUCAGAAAGCCACGGCUAACUACGUGCCAGCAGCCGCGGUAAUACGUAGGUGGCAAGCGUUAUCCGGAAUUAUUGGGCGUAAAGCGCGCGUAGGCGGUUUUUUAAGUCUGAUGUGAAAGCCCACGGCUCAACCGUGGAGGGUCAUUGGAAACUGGAAAACUUGAGUGCAGAAGAGGAAAGUGGAAUUCCAUGUGUAGCGGUGAAAUGCGCAGAGAUAUGGAGGAACACCAGUGGCGAAGGCGACUUUCUGGUCUGUAACUGACGCUGAUGUGCGAAAGCGUGGGGAUCAAACAGGAUUAGAUACCCUGGUAGUCCACGCCGUAAACGAUGAGUGCUAAGUGUUAGGGGGUUUCCGCCCCUUAGUGCUGCAGCUAACGCAUUAAGCACUCCGCCUGGGGAGUACGACCGCAAGGUGAAACUCAAAGGAAUUGACGGC
Molecule: ribosomal RNA, 491 nt
Filed under: uncultured bacterium
Lineage: Bacteria
Description: bacterial SSU rRNA
Rfam family: Bacterial small subunit ribosomal RNA
Source: RNAcentral